GUCCACGCCCUAAACGAUGCUCACUAGGUGUUGGGGAAGCGAUUCCUUGGUACCGAAGCUAACGCGUGAAGUGAGCCGCCUGGGGAGUACGGCCGCAAGGUUAAAACUCAAAGGAAUUGACGGGGACCCGCACAAGCGGUGGAUGAUGUGGAUUAAUUCGAUGCAACGCGAACAACCUUACCUACCCUUGACAUGUCUGGAAGGCCCCUGAGAGGGGGCUGUGCCUGAAAGGGAACCGGACACAGGUGCUGCAUGGCUGUCGU
Molecule: ribosomal RNA, 263 nt
Filed under: uncultured bacterium
Lineage: Bacteria
Description: partial 16S ribosomal RNA
Rfam family: Bacterial small subunit ribosomal RNA
Source: RNAcentral